Molecule: ribosomal RNA, 443 nt
Filed under: uncultured bacterium
Lineage: Bacteria
Description: partial 16S ribosomal RNA
Rfam family: Bacterial small subunit ribosomal RNA
Source: RNAcentral
CCUACGGGGGGCAGCAGUGGGGAAUAUUGGGCAAUGGGCGCAAGCCUGACCCAGCAACGCCGCGUGAAGGAAGAAGGCUUUCGGGUUGUAAACUUCUUUUCUGAGGGACGAAGAAUGUGACGGUACCUCAGGUAUAAGCCACGGCUAACUACGUGCCAGCAGCCGCGGUAAUACGUAGGUGGCACGCGUUAUACGGAUUUAUUGGGUGGAAAGGGCGUGUAGGUGGGACAGCAAGUCAGAUGUGAAAACUCAGGGCUCAACCCUGGGCCUGCAUUUGAUACUGGUUUUCUUGAGUGCUGGAGAGGCAAGCGGAAUUCCAUGUGUAGCGGUGAAAUGCGUAGAUAUACGGAGGAACACCAGUGGCGAAGGCAGAUUACUGGAUAGAAACUGACGCUGAGGCGCGAAAGCGUGGGGAGCAAACAGGAUUAGAUACCCGAGUAGUC